CCAGGGCAAUGCCAAAGCCUCCCGUCCUUGGAGCAUUCCUGAGCAGUGCUGAGUUUGCUUGCUAAGGAAUCCUAGCUGCCUGUAGUUUUCAUAAGAGCCUCUAGGUGUCCCCAUCAUCCAUGAGAUCUUGCUCCUAGCGUUACAACCAGGAGCCUCCAAGUGCUGAGAACUGAAAUAUUAGCAAUUUCUUGAAAAUAGAGGCUUAUCUAAAAACUGGUAUUUGUGUUCACUGUUUCUUUGUGGCCUGACUCUGGUGAAAAAAAUGUUUAUUAGGAAAAAUAUGUCUUGAGAUCAAAUCAUUUGUCCAAGAACUUCCAAGCCACCUGCUUUAUGUACUAUGAAAUGUUAAAUCCAAAUCAAAACAUCUCAAAUAUUAGCAGUUAGCCCUACAUAAAAGUUACAAGUAUAUAAUUAUUUCCACAGUCUUAAAACUUGGAUUUUCCUAAAGAAACUAGUGUAAAGACUAGUUGUUUUAUCACCAUAAGUUAAUUCACCGGUACAGUCCACUAGUGUAAAUAAAGUCUUCCAAAGCCUCCUGUAUAAACCAUCCAGAGUCUCCUCCAGGGUGGGGCAUAUACACUAAUAAAGGUUAACCCUUACAGCACCCCUAUGAAGUGACUUUUAUCUCCAUUUUAUAGGUGGAGAAACGGAGGCAAAUGACAGUUACUUAACACCCAAGGCGACACAUAAAAAGUAGUAGGGGCCAUUCGGUUACUCACUAUACUAGACUGCCAUUCAUGCUCAAACAACAUUUACUGAAUGAGUUAAUAGUUUCAAUUUCCAAAUAAGCGUAAUUGUGUGUUCCUUGUUAACUGUCCUUUGAAGGGUUUCAUGAGUGUCAUUGCAUAUAACACAGCACUGGUGUGGUGGCCUCUGCUCUAUGGAAGGUUUGGGUUCAAUUCGGCCAUUAUUCGGAAUGGCUAAGACACGAUAUAAGGUUACUUUUCAAUUUAACUGUCGGUAUUCUCACACAGGUGCUUAUCUGCUCUCUAUAGCUGUUUGAAUGCAAGGCAGGAGCACAUUUGGUGAGCUCUUGAGGAUGGAGCAGACCUGGCCGGCACUGAGUGUAAUCUAAGAGACUGGAGGAGUUCCCAUCGUGGCUCAGUGGUUAACGAACCAGACUAGGAAUCAUGAGGUUGCGGGUUCCUGGCCUCACUCAGUGGGUGAAGGAUCUGGCGUUGCGUGAGCUGUGGUGUAGGUCGCAGAUGCGGCUCAGAUCCUGUGUUGCUGUGGCUCUGGCAUAGGCCAGUGGCUACAGCUCCGAUUAGACCCCUAGCCUGGGAAUCCCCAUGUACCACGGGGGGGGCCCUAAAAAAAAAAAAAAAAAAAAAAAAAUACUGGAAUGA
Molecule: long non-coding RNA, 1346 nt
Filed under: Sus scrofa (pig)
Lineage: Eukaryota; Metazoa; Chordata; Mammalia; Artiodactyla; Suidae
Description: lncRNA (ENSSSCG00060057162.1)
Source: RNAcentral